This 227-nucleotide unclassified non-coding RNA is filed under the name Clavaria falcata. RNAcentral's name for it is "internal transcribe spacer 2". The record is from RNAcentral. Lineage: Eukaryota; Fungi; Basidiomycota; Agaricomycetes; Agaricales; Clavariaceae.
AUCUCUCAACACAGACAAGUUGACCACUUGUUCUGAUGCUUGGAUGUUGAAGGCUGCUGGUAAAGUAAUACCAGCUCCUUUUAAAUUUAUUAGCAGAAACUAAUGCAAAAGCUGGCUUCAGUUUGAUAAGCACUUAUCUGUAUUGCUGUUGCUGGUUAAAUGCUCCUGUUUCAGCUUCCAAUUGUCCAAUUUUUAUGGACUGUCUCCUUGAGGCAAUUCAAUUUGAC